GCAAGGAUGACAGAGAGGAAG
This 21-nucleotide microRNA is filed under the name Mus musculus (house mouse). RNAcentral describes it as "mmu-miR-6385". Lineage: Eukaryota; Metazoa; Chordata; Mammalia; Rodentia; Muridae. The record is from miRBase by way of RNAcentral.